Molecule: ribosomal RNA, 432 nt
Filed under: uncultured bacterium
Lineage: Bacteria
Description: partial 16S ribosomal RNA
Rfam family: Bacterial small subunit ribosomal RNA
Source: RNAcentral
GGCGAACGCUGGCGGCAGGCCUAACACAUGCAAGUCGAACGAACUCUUCGGAGUUAGUGGCGGACGGGUGAGUAACACGUGGGAACGUGCCUUUUGGUUCGGAAUAACUCAGGGAAACUUGUGCUAAUACCGAAUGUGCCCUUCGGGGGAAAGAUUUAUCGCCAUUAGAGCGGCCCGCGUCUGAUUAGCUAGUUGGUGAGGUAACGGCUCACCAAGGCGACGAUCAGUAGCUGGUCUGAGAGGAUGACCAGCCACACUGGGACUGAGACACGGCCCAGACUCCUCCGGGGGGCAGCAGUGGGGAAUCUGGCGAAAGGGGCGAAAGCCUGACGCAGCCAUGCCGCGUGAAUGAUGAAGGUUUUAGGAUUGUAAAAUUCUUUCACCGGGGACGAUAAUGACGGUACCCGGAGAAGAAGCCCCGGCUAACUUCGU